This 73-nucleotide transfer RNA is filed under the name Methanobrevibacter sp. RNAcentral's name for it is "tRNA-Met". It matches the Rfam family "tRNA". Rfam says of the family: Transfer RNA (tRNA) molecules are approximately 80 nucleotides in length. Their secondary structure includes four short double-helical elements and three loops (D, anti-codon, and T loops). Further hydrogen bonds mediate the characteristic L-shaped molecular structure. tRNAs have two regions of fundamental functional importance: the anti-codon, which is responsible for specific mRNA codon recognition, and the 3' end, to which the tRNAs corresponding amino acid is attached (by aminoacyl-tRNA synthetases). tRNAs cope with the degeneracy of the genetic code in two manners: having more than one tRNA (with a specific anti-codon) for a particular amino acid; and 'wobble' base-pairing, i.e. permitting non-standard base-pairing at the 3rd anti-codon position. The record is from RNAcentral. Lineage: Archaea; Methanobacteriati; Methanobacteriota; Methanobacteria; Methanobacteriales; Methanobacteriaceae.
AGCGGAUUGGAGUAGCGGCUAACUCACCGGAAUCAUAAUCCGGAAAUCGUAGGUUCGAGUCCUACAUCCGCCA